This 253-nucleotide ribosomal RNA is filed under the name uncultured bacterium. RNAcentral describes it as "partial 16S ribosomal RNA". It matches the Rfam family "Bacterial small subunit ribosomal RNA", at positions 524 to 776 of the family's 1533-position model. The record is from RNAcentral.
GACAGAGGAUGCGAGCGUUAUCCGGAGUCAUUGGGCGUAAAGGGUACGUAGGCGGCUAGUCAAGUCUGAGGUUAAAGACCACAGCUUAACUGUGGGAAGGCCUUGGAAACUGACUGGCUAGAGUGGGGCAGGGGUUGCGGGAAUUCCCGGUGUAGCGGUGAAAUGCGUAGAUAUCGGGAAGAACACCUGAGGCGAAAGCGCGCAACUGGGCCCUAACUGACGCUGAGGUACGAAAGCUAGGGGAGCGAAUGGG